AGAGUUUGAUCAUGGCUCAGGACGAACGCUGGCGGCGUGCUUAACACAUGCAAGUCGAGCGGUAAGGCCCUUCGGAGUACACGAGCGGCGAACGGGUGAGUAACACGUGGGUGACCUGCCCUCCACUCUGGGAUAAGCCUGGGAAACCGGGUCUAAUACCGGAUAGGACCUCUGGGUGCAUGCCUGGUGGUGGAAAGUUUUUUCGGUGGGGGAUGGGCCCGCGGUCUAUCAGCUUGUUGGUGGGGUGAUGGCCUACCAAGGCGACGACGGAUAGCCGGCCUGAGAGGGUGAUCGGCCACACUGGGACUGAGACACGGCCCAGACUCCUACGGGAGGCAGCAGUGGGGAAUCUUGCGCAAUGGGCGGAAGCCUGACGCAGCAACGCCGCGUGAGGGAUGACGGCCUUCGGGUUGUAAACCUCUUUCGCGAUCGACGAAGGUCCGGUUUCUGCUGGGCUGACGGUAGGUCGAGAAGAAGCACCGGCCAACUACGUGCCAGCAGCCGCGGUAAUACGUAGGGUGCGAGCGUUGUCCGGAAUUAUUGGGCGUAAAGAGCUCGUAGGCGGUGUGUCGCGUCGGCCGUGAAAACCUGGGGCUCAACUCUGGGCGUGCGGUCGAUACGGGCAUCACUUGAGUUCGGCAGGGGAGACUGGAAUUCCUGGUGUAGCGGUGAAAUGCGCAGAUAUCAGGAGGAACACCGGUGGCGAAGGCGGGUCUCUGGGCCGAUACUGACGCUGAGGAGCGAAAGCAUGGGUAGCGAACAGGAUUAGAUACCCUAGUAGUCC
This 784-nucleotide ribosomal RNA is filed under the name uncultured bacterium. RNAcentral describes it as "bacterial SSU rRNA". It matches the Rfam family "Bacterial small subunit ribosomal RNA", at positions 8 to 796 of the family's 1533-position model. The record is from RNAcentral.